This 238-nucleotide long non-coding RNA is filed under the name Elaeis guineensis (African oil palm). RNAcentral's name for it is "long non-coding RNA (EGUI_LNC034096)". Lineage: Eukaryota; Viridiplantae; Streptophyta; Magnoliopsida; Arecales; Arecaceae. The record is from RNAcentral.
CACUGCACCACUUCUCCAUUUCCACCGUCCACCUACCGCGGAUUUCCUCCAUCGCGUCCCCUCUCGAUUCCCCAGCUCACACCCUCCCUGUCUUUUUCUCUUCUUUGUAUGCCUCCUCCUCCUCUAUCGAUCAGGCGAGGUAGCUUUGGAAGGUCUGUUGUUCCACAGACAACCAGCAUGUAGCCAUUGUUAGAUGGAAAGGAGAAGAAGACAAUGCAGGAGGGAUCUUUUGCCUAGG